AAUCACUAUCGCCAAACCCACCAGACUCCGUUUAAAUGAACAGUAACUGUACCAUUGUAAAACAAACUUUAUUCAAAGUCGAAAGAAACAAAAUAAAAGCCGUCUUGGUUCAUCUUUCUACUGUUCCAACAAUCACCAAUCUGGUUUGGCUGAAAUAAACCCUUAGUUCACUCAUUUACAUGUGACGAUAUGCUGGCUCUAUACACGCUAAAAGUAGUGAUUAUUUCAAUGGAGUCUGGUGAAGAGAUGUUGGCUCUAUACACUCUAA
This is a long non-coding RNA of Sander lucioperca (pikeperch), 268 nucleotides long. RefSeq lists it as uncharacterized. NCBI's taxonomy places the organism in Eukaryota, Metazoa, Chordata, Actinopteri, Perciformes, Percidae. The transcript has 4 exons. The record is from RefSeq and is a predicted model, not a curated record.